UACGGGAGGCAGCAGUGGGGAAUAUUGCACAAUGGGCGCAAGCCUGAUGCAGCCAUGCCGCGUGUAUGAAGAAGGCCUUCGGGUUGUAAAGUACUUUCAGUCGUGAGGAAGGUGUUAAGGUUAAUAACCUUAGCAAUUGACGUUAGCGACAGAAGAAGCACCGGCUAACUCCGUGCCAGCAGCCGCGGUAAUACGGAGGGUGCGAGCGUUAAUCGGAAUUACUGGGCGUAAAGGGCACGCAGGCGGUUAAUUAAGUUGGAUGUGAAAUCCCCGGGCUUAACCUGGGAAUGGCAUUUCAAAGACUGGUUAGCUAGAGUCUUGUAGAGGGGGUAGAAUUCCAUGUGUAGCGGUGAAAUGCGUAGAGAUGUGGAGGAAAUACCGGUGGGCGAAAGGCGGCCCCUGGGACAAAGACUGACGCUCAUGUGCGAAAGCGUGGGGAGCAAACAGGGAUUAGAUACC
This 459-nucleotide ribosomal RNA is filed under the name uncultured bacterium. RNAcentral's name for it is "bacterial SSU rRNA". It matches the Rfam family "Bacterial small subunit ribosomal RNA", at positions 340 to 786 of the family's 1533-position model. The record is from RNAcentral.